RNAcentral lists this long non-coding RNA (669 nucleotides) under Erythranthe guttata (spotted monkey flower). RNAcentral's name for it is "long non-coding RNA (EGUT_LNC001826)". The record is from RNAcentral. Lineage: Eukaryota; Viridiplantae; Streptophyta; Magnoliopsida; Lamiales; Phrymaceae.
UAAAAGUUUGGGGCCUCUUUAAGACCUUAUGGGCCUACACAAGAACAACAAGUGCCCCUACAAUAGCAAAAAAAUUCCAUGGAAGCUCCUAAGAAACUAUUACACAAUAGCCCCACAGAUGGGUGAAAAAGAAAAUCGAAAAAUCCUAAGAAAAACUAAUAUCUUCUGAAAUCGCCAAAACGACCCCAAAAAUGGGCAGAAAUGCAUAUAUGCAUAAUGCCAGCCACCCUUCGCGAUGGAUUAUCACGGCGCCAUCCGAAUACAUGCUCAUCUCCUGUAUCUCACAAAUGCCAAUCAACCUCUACGGAAAACGAGGAACCUCCGCUCGAUCGACGAAGAACAUUUGUUUAUGCACCGGGGAAGGAAUAUCAUGUACUCUGAUAAAAUCCUUUCUGUCAACAUAUCCACCGCAAUAUUUUGCUCCCGGUAUAUAUAUGAACGCUACCAAUACCCGAAAAACUUUGAUGAAUCACAAGCUAACCAAUACAUUUUUCUAGAGCCAUUGCUAUCCCAUAAGAAAGCACAAAAAAAUUUAUUCUAUCCGUUUUAAAACUCGAUUUAGCAAGAACCACAACACAAGACAACGUAUGUAUGGGGAUACCGAAUAAAAUAGCUUUAAUGAGCGUGAUCUUUGCACCUAAUGAUAAAAAUUUAGACUUCCGAUCCACC